RNAcentral lists this long non-coding RNA (667 nucleotides) under Salmo salar (Atlantic salmon). RNAcentral describes it as "lncRNA (ENSSSAG00000110084.1)". The record is from RNAcentral. Lineage: Eukaryota; Metazoa; Chordata; Actinopteri; Salmoniformes; Salmonidae.
CAUUCUACCAACCCAACAGAUGUUUCUACUACAGUGAAUAUUAACCAAUGAGGUGGGUCUUUCCACAUUCUACCAACACAACAGAUGUUUCUACUACAGUGAAUAUUAACCAAUGAGGUGGGUCUUUCCACAUUCUACCAACACAACAGAUGUUAAUACUACAGUGAAUAUUAACCAAUGCGGUGGGUCUUUCCACAUUCUACCAACCCAACAGAUGUUUCUACUACAGUGAAUAUUAACCAAUGAGGUGGGUCUUUCCACAUUCUACCAACACAACAGAUGUUUCUACUACAGUGAAUAUUAACCAAUGAGGUGGGUCUUUCCACAUUCUACCAACACAACAGAUGUUUCUACUACAGUGAAUAUUAAUCAAUGAGGUGGGUCUUUCCACAUUCUUCCAACCCAACAGAUGUUAAUACUACAGUGAAUAUUAACCAAUGAGGUGGGUCUUUCCACAUUCUACCAACCCAACAGAUGUUUCUACAACAGUGAAUAUUAACCAAUGAGGUGGGUCUUUCCACAUUCUACCAACACAACAGAUGUUAAUACUACAUUGAAUUUUAAGCAAUGAGCCCUUCGUACAUCAGCUGAUAUUCUCAAAGUGCUGUACAGAAACCCAGCCUAAAACCCCAAACAGCAAGCAAAGCAUGUGAAAGAAGCACGGUGG